Molecule: ribosomal RNA, 284 nt
Filed under: Cyclothone alba (bristlemouth)
Lineage: Eukaryota; Metazoa; Chordata; Actinopteri; Stomiiformes; Gonostomatidae
Description: partial 16S ribosomal RNA
Source: RNAcentral
AACUAACUCUUCAGCACACACACCACUGCAAAUGCUUACGAACAACACAUUAUCUAUACUAAAUCAUUCUUCCCUCAAGUAUGGGCGACAGAAAGAAGUCUUGUAGCUACAGAGACAGUACCGCAAGGGACUUCUGAAAAAGAAGUGAAACAACCUAAAAGACAAGAACAGCAGAGCUUCGCCCUCGUACCUUUUGCAUCAUGGAUUAACCAGCCUCCCCAAGCAAAGAGACCUUUAGUCUGACACCCCGAAACCAGGCGAGCUACUUCAAGUCAGCCCCCUGG